CAGUAGCCGCGGUAAUACGAAGGGUGCAAGCGUUACUCGGAAUUACUGGGCGUAAAGCGUGUGUAGGUGGUUGUUUAAGUCUGUCGUGAAAGCCCUGGGCUCAACCUGGGAAUUGCGAUGGAUACUGGGCGACUAGAGUGCGGUAGAGGACAGUGGAAUUUCCGGUGUAGCAGUGAAAUGCGUAGAGAUCGGAAGGAACAUCUGUGGCGAAGGCGACUAUCUGGGCCAACACUGACACUGAGACACGAAAGCGUGGGGAGCAAACAGGAUUAGAUACCCGCGUAGUCCCUGUCUCUUAUAA
RNAcentral lists this ribosomal RNA (301 nucleotides) under uncultured bacterium. RNAcentral's name for it is "partial 16S ribosomal RNA". It matches the Rfam family "Bacterial small subunit ribosomal RNA", at positions 509 to 809 of the family's 1533-position model. The record is from RNAcentral.